Long non-coding RNA from Sarcophilus harrisii (Tasmanian devil), 1972 nucleotides. RefSeq lists it as uncharacterized. The transcript is spliced from 3 exons. The record is from RefSeq and is a predicted model, not a curated record. NCBI's taxonomy places the organism in Eukaryota, Metazoa, Chordata, Mammalia, Dasyuromorphia, Dasyuridae.
GAAAAGGAGAGGAGGGACUUCCCAAAGUGACAGCAAUGUCAACCUAUAGGAGAUAGGCAGGCUGAAUCAAGGAACGGAAGGAAACUGAUAGUGCUCUAAGCCAAUGAAAAGCAGGAAAGAGGAAGGUUUACUGGAGGAAAAGGGGCGUAGGCCACGGGGGAAGUCUGGGAAUGGAGCCUGGAAACGGGAAAUGACCUAUUAGGCCCGAGAACUGAGACGGGUUAACGUCGCUGUGACGUCACGCGUCCUUCCUCUCGGAAUACCAAAAGAGAACUGACCUGAGGAACGCCCCUUGCUGCCGAUCACCGCCCCCUCUGAGUCCUUGUGGCCACCGUGACGCCGACCCCCCUCAGAGCCCCCCAUCACCCUGCUCUGACUGCCGCCUCAGAGCCCCAGUAGCCGUCACCCUGACCACCCCCUUAUAGGUCACCUCACUCCCGAACGUCGUUUCAGAGACCCACUGGUCACCCCCAGAAUCCCUCAGUCAUCUCCUCCAAAACCCCAGAAACUCCCCGGUGACCCCACUGGUCACCCCCAGAAUCCCUCAGUCAUCUCCUCCAAAACCCCAGAGACUCCCCGGUGACCCCACUGGUCACCCCCAGAAUCCCUCAGUCAUCUCCUCCAAAACCCCAGAGACUCCCCGGUGACCCCACUGGUCACCCCCAGAAUCCCUCAGUCAUCUCCUCCAAAACCCCAGAGACUCCCCGGUGACCCCACUGGUCACCCCCAGAAUCCCUCAGUCAUCUCCUCCAAAACCCCAGAGACUCCCCGGUGACCCCACUGGUCACCCCCAGAAUCCCUCAGUCAUCUCCUCCAAAACCCCAGAGACUCCCCGGUGACCCCACUGGUCACCCCCAGAAUCCCUCAGUCAUCUCCUCCAAAACCCCAGAGACUCCCCGGUGACCCCACUGGUCACCCCCAGAAUCCCUCAGUCAUCUCCUCCAAAACCCCAGAGACUCCCCGGUGACCCCACUGGUCACCCCCAGAAUCCCUCAGUCAUCUCCUCCAAAACCCCAGAGACUCCCCGGUGACCCCACUGGUCACCCCCAGAAUCCCUCAGUCAUCUCCUCCAAAACCCCAGAGACUCCCCGGUGACCCCACUGUUGAGCAUCCCCCAGAAUCCCUCGGUCAUCUCCUCCAAAACCCCAGAGACUCCCCGGUGACCCCACUGUUGAGCAUCCCCCAGAAUCCUUCGGUCAUCUCGUCCAAAACCCCAGAGACUCCCCGGUGACCCCACUGUUGAGCAUCCCCCAGAAUCCCUCAGUCAUCUCGUCCAAAACCCCAGAGAUCUUUUGCCCAUCUCACCAUUCCAGAAUCCCACUCACCCGCCUCGUGUUGUCUGUCACCCCAGAAACCCCACUUCUUACUGCCACGAUGGACAGAUCCCCUGACAAAGGUCCCAUUUGCCCAUCUAAGGAGUGAUUCAUAUCAGAGCCUUUCCAGACAGGAGGAUUUAAUGUGGGAGAGAGAACAUGGGGGCCUCGGGGCCUGAAAUGUGUGAUGUCUGUCCGCAGGAGCUCAUGCUGGAGCAAUUGUCCUAGGAGGUGAUCAUGUCACUCAAAACCUACAGUGGUGCCCCACUGCCUUCUAGAUCAAAUCUGAACUUAACCUGCCCUUCAAUAGGUCUCCCUGAACCUUCUCCCCGUUAUUCUUCUCUGCAACCCUUUUCUACUCCAGCCGGACUGUGGCAAUUUCUUCCCAUCAAUCCCUUGAAGACCUCAUCCAUAAAGACCUAACCAGUUUACUGAUCACUUCUCAAUUUGUAUUCAACAAAAGUCUAUGUGGUUGGAAUCACUCCCUGGCUGUCCUGUAUUCAUUGCUGCUUGAAAAGACACCCAGGGAAGAAAAAUAAGCCUUUUUUUCUCUCAAGGCAUGACCCUGGACACACAAUGGACUCUCAGUAAAAACUAGGUAAAUGGAAAUAAAGAGACGUAGAAUUCCUACUGGGACUGAGUAUACUUAAUUAGAAGAA